CGGACAGAUGGGAGCUUGCUCCCUGAUGUUAGCGGCGGACGGGUGAGUAACACGUGGGUAACCUGCCUGUAAGACUGGGAUAACUCCGGGAAACCGGGGCUAAUACCGGAUGGUUGUUUGAACCGCAUGGUUCAAACAUAAAAGGUGGCUUCGGCUACCACUUACAGAUGGACCCGCGGCGCAUUAGCUAGUUGGUGAGGUAACGGCUCACCAAGGCAACGAUGCGUAGCCGACCUGAGAGGGUGAUCGGCCACACUGGGACUGAGACACGGCCCAGACUCCUACUGGAGGCAGCAGUAGGGAAUCUUCUCGCAAUGGACGAAAGUCUGACGGAGCAACGCCGCGUGAGUGAUGAAGGUUUUCGGAUCGUAAAGCUCUGUUGUUAGGGAAGAACAAGUACCGUUCGAAUAGGGCGGUACCUUGACGGUACCUAACCAAAAAGCCACGGCUAACUACGUGCCAGCAGCCGCGGUAAUACGUAGGUGGCAAGCGUUGUCCGGAAUUAUUGGGCGUAAAGGGCUCGCAGGCGGUUUCUUAAGUCUGAUGUGAAAGCCCCCGGCUCAACCGGGGAGGGUCAUUGGAAACUGGGGAACUUGAGUGCAAAAAAGG
This 609-nucleotide ribosomal RNA is filed under the name Bacillus subtilis. Its description in RNAcentral is "bacterial SSU rRNA". It matches the Rfam family "Bacterial small subunit ribosomal RNA", at positions 67 to 657 of the family's 1533-position model. The record is from RNAcentral. Lineage: Bacteria; Bacillati; Bacillota; Bacilli; Caryophanales; Bacillaceae.